AACGAACGCUGGCGGCAUGCCUAACACAUGCAAGUCGAACGAGACCUUCGGGUCUAGUGGCGCACGGGUGCGUAACGCGUGGGAACCUGCCCUUAGGUUCGGAAUCACUCCCCGAAAGGGGUCCUAAUACCGGAUAAUGUCUUCGGGCCAAAGAUUUAUCGCCUUUGGAUGGGCCCUCGUUGGAUUAGCUGGUUGGUAGGGUAAAAGCCUACCAAGGCGACGAUGCAUAGCUGGUCUGAGAGGAUGAUCAGCCACACUUGGAAUGAGACACGGCCCAGACUCCUACGGGAGGGAGCAGUGGGGAAUAUUGGACGAGGGGGGAUGGCGUGAUACAGCAAUGCCGGGUAAGUGAUGAAGGCCGUAGGGUUGUAAAGCUCUUUUACACGGGAUGAGAAUGACAGUACCGGGAGAAUAAGCUCCGGCUAACUCCGUG
This 433-nucleotide ribosomal RNA is filed under the name uncultured bacterium. RNAcentral describes it as "partial 16S ribosomal RNA". It matches the Rfam family "Bacterial small subunit ribosomal RNA", at positions 29 to 507 of the family's 1533-position model. The record is from RNAcentral.